GCACGUAGUUGGCCGGUGCUUAUUCACAGGGUACGGUCAAUCCCGACAAGUCGGGACAUUCAUCCCCUGUAAAAGAGGUUUACAUCCUAACGGAUUUCAUCCCUCACGCGGCGUCGCUGCUUCAGGCUUUCGCCCAUUGAGCAAUAUUCCUCACUGCUGCCUUCCGUAGAAGUCUGGACCGUGUCUCAGUUCCAGUGUGGCUGAUCGUCCUCUCAGACCAGCUACCCAUCGUCGACUUGGUGGGCCGUUACCCCGCCAACUAUCUAAUGGGACGCAAGCCCAUCUUAUGACGCCCUUUUGGGGCCUUUGAUUUCAAAGUAAUGCUGCUUCGAAACAUCAUCGGGUAUUAGCCCCGCUUUCGCGGGGUUAUUCCCGUUCACAAGGAAGGUUGCUUACGUGUUACUCACCCGUUCGCCGGUUUACUCAGGAUAUUGCUACCCUUUUCUCCCAGACUUGCAUGUGUUAGGCACGCCGCCAGCGUUCGUC
This 486-nucleotide ribosomal RNA is filed under the name uncultured bacterium. RNAcentral describes it as "partial 16S rRNA". The record is from RNAcentral.